UCUCCAUGACGGCAGCUUCCGCGCGAUGGUCGCAGUCUAUCGCAGUCGCAUCCUGUGUUUUUUCUAAUUUACGUCAAUAUUCACCUGGUAUCCAAUGUCUCAUGCUGCCCGGUGACGAGACGGAGAGCUUUUGAUGCCACGAAGCAAUCGGACCGCCGGAGUGGAAAGACGAUGUGGUGCCAUCGACUGCUCGUGUUUUUAGCGGACAUUUGCAUGAUGGAAUUUACGAAGGGUACGCUGAAUCUCUUCAACGUACUGGAUAACGAGCUCAGUGUCGUCUGAAUCAAGGUGUAGCAACGUGUCCACACCGGAGAAAGAACAUCCACCUAAACGGCGCAAAGGUGUGUCUUCCUCAGCGGAGCCUGAAACCCCUUAGGUGAGACAGCAUGAUCAUUGUAAUCCACUAUUCAGAGCAGACAAAUGCUGUGCACUCUCUUUCCAGAUUCCUCUUUAAUGCAGUGUCUUGCCUACCAUUCGGGCUCUGUAUAUUGUUCACAAGUUUUUUUUUUUACCUUUAUUGUCAUUUGAUUUACAGUUUGCUUUGUCAUGUACACAAAUAUGAUAUUGAGGGGGACAUUUUCUUGUUUACACCUCUUAUCUUAUAAUCAUUGCUCAGUUAGAUUACAUCAUUUGCAUUCACCGGAACUGGAGUUGUAUACUGUGUUAUUUUCUUGUCUCAAAUCAGGGCAGCCCAUGUAUAUGGCAGCUGAAGUCUUUCACCAGGGUAACAUGCCAGGACAACUCCAGCAAGUGCUCUGCAGGUCACCUCUAAAUUAAAGGAACCUACCUUUGA
Long non-coding RNA from Ornithodoros turicata, 793 nucleotides. RefSeq lists it as uncharacterized. The transcript is spliced from 2 exons. NCBI's taxonomy places the organism in Eukaryota, Metazoa, Arthropoda, Arachnida, Ixodida, Argasidae. The record is from RefSeq and is a predicted model, not a curated record.